CCUACGGGAGGCUGCAGUGGGGAAUAUUGCACAAUGGGGGAAACCCUGAUGCAGCGACGUCGCGUGAGUGAUGAAGUAUCUCGGUAUGUAAAGCUCUAUCAGCAGGGAAGAUAAUGACGGUACCUGACUAAGAAGCCCCGGCUCACUACGUGCCAGCAGCCGCGGGAAUACGUAGGGGGCAAGCGUUAUCCGGAUUUACUGGGGGUUAAGGGUGCGUAGGUGGGAGGGGAAGUCAGAUGUGAAAGCCCGGGGUCCAACCCCGGUACUGCAUUUGAAACUGUGCGGCUUGAGUGCAGGAGAGGUAAGCGGAAUGCGUGGUGUAGCGGUGAAAUGCGUAGAUAUUAGGAGGAACACCAGUGGCGAAGGCGGCUUACUGGACUGUAACUGACACUGAGGCACGAAAGCGUGGGGAGCAAACAGGAUUAGAUACCCUUGUAGUC
RNAcentral lists this ribosomal RNA (440 nucleotides) under uncultured bacterium. RNAcentral's name for it is "partial 16S ribosomal RNA". It matches the Rfam family "Bacterial small subunit ribosomal RNA", at positions 338 to 795 of the family's 1533-position model. The record is from RNAcentral.